AGUGAACGCUGGCGGUAGACCUAACACAUGCAAGUCGAACGGCAGCACAGUAAGAGCUUGCUCUUACGGGUGGCGAGUGGCGGACGGGUGAGGAAUACAUCGGAAUCUACUUUUUCGUGGGGGAUAACGUAGGGAAACUUACGCUAAUACCGCAUACGACCUACGGGUGAAAGCAGGGGAUCUUCGGACCUUGCGCGAUUGAAUGAGCCGAUGUCGGAUUAGCUAGUUGGCGGGGUAAAGGCCCACCAAGGCGACGAUCCGUAGCUGGUCUGAGAGGAUGAUCAGCCACACUGGAACUGAGACACGGUCCAGACUCCUACGGGAGGCAGCAGUGGGGAAUAUUGGACAAUGGGCGCAAGCCUGAUCCAGCCAUACCGCGUGGGUGAAGAAGGCCUUCGGGUUGUAAAGCCCUUUUGUUGGGAAAGAAAAGCAGCAGGUUAAUACCCCGCUGUUCUGACGGUACCCAAGGAAUAAGCACCGGCUAACUUCGUG
RNAcentral lists this ribosomal RNA (492 nucleotides) under uncultured bacterium. Its description in RNAcentral is "partial 16S ribosomal RNA". It matches the Rfam family "Bacterial small subunit ribosomal RNA", at positions 29 to 507 of the family's 1533-position model. The record is from RNAcentral.